RNAcentral lists this long non-coding RNA (805 nucleotides) under Lathyrus oleraceus (garden pea). RNAcentral's name for it is "Pisum sativum (pea) long non-coding RNA (PSAT_LNC023055)". The record is from RNAcentral. Lineage: Eukaryota; Viridiplantae; Streptophyta; Magnoliopsida; Fabales; Fabaceae.
AGAACCAUGCGCAUUAAACCACCAAAUCGAACGGAUCCCUGCAUAAUACAUUCAUACAACCCCGUAGAAAGGCAUCCAACAAAGCCAAACAGAAUCCUGCAUUUUCACACAAAACACAUUAAACCAAGCUCCAUCAGAACUGAACCUGGAUUUCAUUUUAGCUGGCCACAAUGUGAAUUCCACCAUAAGCCACAGAAACACAAUACACGAAAUCAAAACUAACCUACUAACUAAAAUUGAACUCAUAACUAACUCUAAUGGACUUACAUUUCAUUUGCAACUGACUUGUGAAUUUUAGGGGAAUUUCUAAUCGAAAAUUGGAGAAACUAAAUUUAUAAAUUCAUAGCACGCUUCAUUCAUUCAUUUUGGGGGUCACGAAUCACAAACCAGAAAUCACUCUGCAAAAUCAUUUUUCCAUCUUCACUACAAAUUCUGAGAACGCUCAUUCAUUUUCCAUUUUCAUUGCGAAUUCUCAGAAGCUCUCAAAUCAGAAACUCCGCACUGCACAUUCUCAAAGCAACCCUCAAUUUCCAUUUUUAUCCUCUCAAUCCUCUCCCUCGAUUCAUAGCGUGAAGAGUAGAAGGUGAAGAACUUUGAAGAAGAAGAAUGAGCGUACAGAGAAUUGAUACUUGUUUUUUGCCACCGCAUCAAAUCCGGUGAGUUCUUUUUCUUGUUUCAAUCCAUGGUUCGUCUUUACUUCACGUUUCCCUUUGAUAUGAUGUAAUUGCGAUUCACUUUCGGUAGAUGAAGAUGAUGAUAUGCGCGAAUAGGAAUGUGUUGUUGAUUUCGUGUUUCAAAUUUUUUG